This 600-nucleotide ribosomal RNA is filed under the name uncultured bacterium. Its description in RNAcentral is "bacterial SSU rRNA". It matches the Rfam family "Bacterial small subunit ribosomal RNA", at positions 745 to 1345 of the family's 1533-position model. The record is from RNAcentral.
GCUGAGGCGCGAAAGUGUGGGGAGCAAACAGGAUUAGAUACCCUGGUAGUCCACACUGUAAACGAUGAAUGCUAGGUGUAGGGGGUAUCGACCCCUUCUGUGCCGCAGUUAACACAAUAAGCAUUCCGCCUGGGGAGUACGGCCGCAAGGUUGAAACUCAAAGGAAUUGACGGGGGCCCGCACAAGCAGCGGAGCAUGUGGUUUAAUUCGACGCAACGCGAAGAACCUUACCAGGUCUUGACAUCCAGUAAAAGCCAUAGAGAUAUGGUGUGAGCUUGCUCAUACUGAGACAGGUGGUGCAUGGUUGUCGUCAGCUCGUGUCGUGAGAUGUUGGGUUAAGUCCCGCAACGAGCGCAACCCUUAUUUUCAGUUACUAACGCGUAGAGGCGAGGACUCUGAAGAGACUGCCGGGGACAACUCGGAGGAAGGUGGGGACGACGUCAAAUCAUCAUGCCCCUUAUGACCUGGGCUACACACGUGCUACAAUGGCCACCACAGAGAGGAGCGAACCUGCGAGGGGGAGCGGAUCUCAAAAAAGUGGUCCCAGUUCGGAUUGUGGGCUGCAACCCGCCCACAUGAAGUCGGAGUGCUAGUAAUCGC